UAGAAAAUAGUAUAUUGGUGGUACUGAAAGUUUUGGGCUUUCUGGUUCAAGUUCGAAUCUUGAUUUUCUAU
RNAcentral lists this transfer RNA (71 nucleotides) under Pseudagkistrodon rudis (Red keelback). Its description in RNAcentral is "tRNA-Gln". It matches the Rfam family "tRNA". From Rfam's summary of the family: Transfer RNA (tRNA) molecules are approximately 80 nucleotides in length. Their secondary structure includes four short double-helical elements and three loops (D, anti-codon, and T loops). Further hydrogen bonds mediate the characteristic L-shaped molecular structure. tRNAs have two regions of fundamental functional importance: the anti-codon, which is responsible for specific mRNA codon recognition, and the 3' end, to which the tRNAs corresponding amino acid is attached (by aminoacyl-tRNA synthetases). tRNAs cope with the degeneracy of the genetic code in two manners: having more than one tRNA (with a specific anti-codon) for a particular amino acid; and 'wobble' base-pairing, i.e. permitting non-standard base-pairing at the 3rd anti-codon position. The record is from RNAcentral. Lineage: Eukaryota; Metazoa; Chordata; Lepidosauria; Squamata; Natricidae.